Molecule: long non-coding RNA, 2067 nt
Organism: Panthera uncia (snow leopard)
Lineage: Eukaryota; Metazoa; Chordata; Mammalia; Carnivora; Felidae
Exons: 2
Source: RefSeq, a predicted model, not a curated record
CCAGCACCUCUGUCACAGAUUUUAAUUGAAGUAGUUUAUUGAGCUGUUUCGAAUAUUCAUGUUGCUAUUUGGUAAAUAAUCUUAUCUAAACAAAUUCUUGUUUUACCAAGACAUUUUAUGAGAAAAUGCUGCUGAAUUUUGUCAAAUGCCUUUUCAGCCUUUUUUGAUGUGGUUUUGUGUUAGUCUUCUUUAAUCUGUUGACUACUUAGAUUACAUUGGAGCUGCUGAUAUUAAGCCACUCUUGUCUCCUUGGAAUAAAACCUACUUGAUCAUAAUGUGUUAUUCUUUUUUUUUUUUAUUUUUUUUUUUUUAUAAAUCAGCAUUCCAGUUGCUAAUAUUUUAUUUAGAAUUUCAGCAUGCAUAUUCAUACAUGAGAUUAGUCUAUAGGUUUCUUUAGUAGUCUUUUUUUAUUAGGUAUAAAAAGUUAUGCAGGUUGACAAAAUGUGGGACUAAUCAGAAGGCUCACCCACUGUGGGUGAGAAUGCAAAUUUAUUCAAAUGUGUUAGAAAACCACUUAGCUGAAUCUACUAACGUGAAAAUAUAAAAUCUAGUAAUUCUGCUUCUGGGCAAACACCCAAUAAAAUGCAUACAUAUGUUUACCAAAAGACAUGUUCUAGAAUGUUUAUAGCAACAUUAUUAGCAAUAGCUUCAAACCAGGAACUACCUAAAAGUCCAUCUACUAUAGCAUGGAUAAAUACAUUUUUGUGUUCAUACAGUGGAAUAUUAUACAGCAACAAGAAUGAACAGUUUAUAAGCACAUGCAAUAUAUGGAUGAAUCUCAGAAAUGUUAUGUCGAGCCUUAAAAGGCAGAUAUAAAAAGAAUACUGUGUGCUUGCCUUUUUAUAAGUGCAAAAACAGGCAAAACUAAUCUGUUAACCGUUAGAAGACAGGAACGUGGUUAUCUUCAGUGAGAGAUAAGUAGAGGGGGAGGUAGUGUCUGAAAGAGUUUGAGGGGGAUUCUGCAGUGCUGGUAACAUUUUGUGUCUUUGUCUAGGUGCCUGUUUAUGUUCGAUUGUUUAGGUCAUGGAAACUCAUCUACUUUACACUUAACAUGUACACUUUUCUGUAUGUAUUUUAUACUUGAAUAAAAUGUUUUUAGAAAGCAAUACUUGUUUCAUAGAAUGAAUUGGGGAGAUUUCAUCUUUUUCUACAGUUUAGAAUUGUUUAAGAGGUCUUUGAAAUUGUAUGUUAAAGAUUAGAUGAAACUUGGCUGAGAGACUUUCGGUCCUGAGGCCUUCUUGUUUAGAGGUAGGAUUUUUCAUUGCUUUUCUAAUACCUUUGGUUCAAAAUACUCACUUCUUGAAUUAAUUCUGAUAACUUAUAUUUUGUAGGAAAUGCUUCAUUUUUUUGUAGGUUUUCACAUUUAUUUUCUAUAGAUCUGUGUUUUUAUGUUUCUUGUAAUUUCUUCAGUGUGUGGUAUUAUGGUUUUUAUUCUUUUUAUCCAAGGAUUAUCUAUCUGUGUUUCUUAAUCUUCAAGGAGUUCAGGAAAAGCAGUACUAAUUUUUCACAUUCAGUUCCUCUUGUCAAGUUGAAGGGUGAGGAGGAAAUAAUCAAGGUGGAUCAAGAAUUUGCUCAGAAUCCCAUCUGAAGAUUCCUGGAUCAGAGGAGCAAAGGAAAUCUGCCCAGUGGCCCUCCAGCAGAUUUCUCCAUGUAUCUCACUGGCCACAACAUUGCCUCUCUACCUUUAAUGGAUGUUGAGAAAGUGAGUAUCUCACUGUUCAGCUUCUGUAGUAGGAGAUGGCAGUGAGAAGUCAAUUUCAAAUGGCUUUUGGGUUAGACAACAAAUGUUCCCUCUCACAACUACCAUUAGCCAGGAACCUCUUCAAUCCCUCAUUUCUAUUUUGCAUUUGCCCUCAUUUCUCCUCUCUCACCCUGAUUAUGAAAAGAAAUAUAUGUGGUUUGUGGAUGCUGAGUCCUAAUUUUCCAAUUCUUGAGAACAGUGCCUCAAAUCACCUUCCAAAUGAGACAUUUGCUUUCUCCAUGGGAUAUUACAGUCAUUCUAAUCUUGUUUGUUCAUUCCCGGUUUUGAAUUCACUCACUCUCUGAAGAACCAUCAAACAAACCCUG